GGGGGCGUUUCGGUUUCGACGUUGAACGUGCGGCCCAAUGUGCAUGUCGAGCAGGCAGCCUCACUCGUAAAAAUGAGCUGUACAUUUGUAGUUGCAAACUUAGAAAACUACGAAGACGCAGUCGCCGCCUAAGCGGUUCUCUACGUCCCAUUGACAAUUGGUCGCUUGUUGCCAAUUGAGUCUUUUGACGGUCAAUGGUCAUUUUAGACAAGCUCGUGUUCCAGUGCGCUCAAUCACUUGAACAUUAAACACGACAUUGAGCUCGUUUAAGCCUGACCAUGCCCGUAAGGUCAGCUUCAAUUAAAUUCAAGAACGUGGCUAAGCAUGUAGAUCAGACGGUUUAUCUUUGACGGACGCGGGUUCGAGUCCCGCCGCCUCCAU
RNAcentral lists this transfer-messenger RNA (381 nucleotides) under marine eukaryotic metagenome. It matches the Rfam family "transfer-messenger RNA". Rfam says of the family: Bacterial tmRNA, also known as 10Sa RNA or SsrA, is named for its dual tRNA and mRNA-like properties. Its role is to liberate the mRNA from a stalled ribosome. The record is from RNAcentral.